UGAACAGCAGUUGGACAUGGGUGAGCCGAUCCUAAGAGAUAGGGUAGUUCCGUAUGAAAGUGCGCGAUUCUUCGCGCCGCCUAUCGAAAGGGAAGCCGGUUAAAAUUCCGGCGCCAGGAUGUGGAUGAUAGACGGCAACGUAAACGAACCAGGAGACGUCGGCGAGGGCCCUGGAAAGAGUUAUCUUUUCUUUCUUACAGUCUGUCACCCUGAAAUCGAUUUGUUCG
RNAcentral lists this ribosomal RNA (227 nucleotides) under Prorocentrum minimum. Its description in RNAcentral is "partial Eukaryotic large subunit ribosomal RNA". It matches the Rfam family "Eukaryotic large subunit ribosomal RNA", at positions 1514 to 1737 of the family's 3401-position model. The record is from RNAcentral. Lineage: Eukaryota; Dinophyceae; Prorocentrales; Prorocentraceae.